GACGAACGCUGGCGGCAUGCCUUACACAUGCAAGUCGAACGGCAGCACGGGGGCAACCCUGGUGGCGAGUGGCGAACGGGUGAGUAAUGCAUCGGAACGUACCCGGAAGUGGGGGAUAACGUAGCGAAAGUUACGCUAAUACCGCAUAUUCUGUGAGCAGGAAAGCAGGGGAACGCAAGCACUUGCGCUUUCGGAGCGGCCUAUGUCGGGUUAGCUAGUUGGUGAGGUAAAGGCUUACCAAGGCGACGAUCCGUAGCUGGUCUUAGAGGAUGAUCAGCCACACUGGGACUGAGACACGGCCCAGACUCCUACGGGAGGCAGCAGUGGGGAAUUUUGGACAAUGGGGGAAACCCUGAUCCAGCCAUGCCGCGUGAGUGAAGAAGGCCCUCGGGUUGUAAAGCUCUUCCGGACAGAAAGAAAUCGCCAUCUCUAAUACAGGUGGUGGAUGACGGUACUGUAAGAAGAAGCACCGGCUAACUACGUGCCAGCAGCCGCCGUAA
Molecule: ribosomal RNA, 500 nt
Filed under: uncultured bacterium
Lineage: Bacteria
Description: partial 16S ribosomal RNA
Rfam family: Bacterial small subunit ribosomal RNA
Source: RNAcentral